AUCCCUCACUGCUAAGCUAUCCCUCGCUGCUAAGCUAUCACUGCCAAUCUAUCGCUGCUAAUCUAUCGCUGCCAACCUAUCUACCGUGGCGAAUCUAUCUAUCGCUGCCAAUUUAUCUACCACUGCCAAUCUAUCUAUCGCUGCCAAUCUAUUGCUGCUAAUCUAUCGCUGCUAAUCUAUCGCUGCUGCCAAUCUAUCUAUCGCUGCUAAUCUAUCGCCGCUGCCAAUCUAUCCCUCGCUGCUAAGCUAUCCCUCACUGCUAAGCUAUCACUGCCAAUCUAUCGCUGCUAAUCUAUCGCUGCCAACCUAUCUACCGCGGCGAAUCUAUCUAUCGCUGCCAAUUUAUCUACCACUGCCAAUCUAUCUAUCGCUGCCAAUCUAUCGCUGCUAAUCUAUCGCUGCUAAUCUAUCACUGCUAAUCUAUCGCUGCUAAUCUAUCGCUGCUAAUCUAUCGCUGCCAACCUAUCUACCGCGGCGAAUCUAUCUAUCACUAUCAUUACUAGUUCAAAAUAGAACUAGAGCAUAAACACACUAAACUUCUUUUGAUAGGUAAUGAUUUUUGGUAACGCUCAUAGCAUUAUAUCAUCUAUAUAGGGUAAAUCAUGGUCCCAUUUGGUCCCAUUUUAACAAAAUGGGACCAAAUGGGACCAGAAUCAGUAAUUUAUAAGAAGAACAUGACCUGGGACUAGAUUUAUAAUAUAAACAGUGUAAAGUGACUAAUUUAAUAAACACUAUAUGAGACCAGGACUAAGAAAUUUGAUAAUGGGACUGG
RNAcentral lists this small RNA (772 nucleotides) under Histoplasma ohiense. Its description in RNAcentral is "hypothetical lncRNA". The record is from RNAcentral. Lineage: Eukaryota; Fungi; Ascomycota; Eurotiomycetes; Onygenales; Ajellomycetaceae.